This 427-nucleotide ribosomal RNA is filed under the name soil fungal sp. DM009. Its description in RNAcentral is "eukaryotic LSU rRNA". It matches the Rfam family "Eukaryotic large subunit ribosomal RNA", at positions 151 to 586 of the family's 3401-position model. Lineage: Eukaryota; Fungi. The record is from RNAcentral.
GUAGAGGAUGCUUUUGGUGAGGUGCCNCCNGAGUUCCCUGGAACGGGACGCCACAGAGGGUGAGAGCCCCGUCUGGCUGGCCACCGAGCCUCUGUAAAGCUCCUUCGACGAGUCGAGUAGUUUGGGAAUGCUGCUCAAAAUGGGAGGUAUAUGUCUUCUAAAGCUAAAUAUUGGCCAGAGACCGAUAGCGCACAAGUAGAGUGAUCGAAAGAUGAAAAGCACCUUGAAAAGAGGGUUAAACAGUACGUGAAAUUGUUGAAAGGGAAGCGCUUGUGACCAGACUUGGGCGCGGCGAAUCAUCCGGGGUUCUCUCCGGUGCACUUCGCCGUGUUCAGGCCAGCAUCAGUUCGGCGCGGGGGAGGGANGCUUCGGGAACGUGGCUGCUCCGGCAGUGUUAUAGCCCGUUGCAUAAUACCCUGCGCUGGAC